RNAcentral lists this non-coding RNA (218 nucleotides) under Streptomyces sp. WM6378. RNAcentral's name for it is "partial 23S ribosomal RNA". It matches the Rfam family "Bacterial large subunit ribosomal RNA", at positions 485 to 689 of the family's 2925-position model. The record is from RNAcentral. Lineage: Bacteria; Bacillati; Actinomycetota; Actinomycetes; Kitasatosporales; Streptomycetaceae.
CGAUAGCGGAUAGUACCGUGAGGGAAUGGUGAAAAGUACCGCGGGAGCGGAGUGAAAUAGUACCUGAAACCGUGUGCCUACAAGCCGUGGGAGCGUCGCUGUAUGUGCUUGCACAUGCAGUCGUGACUGCGUGCCUUUUGAAGAAUGAGCCUGCGAGUUAGCGGUGUGUAGCGAGGUUAACCCGUGUGGGGAAGCCGUAGCGAAAGCGAGUCCGAACA